CUGAGCCUGUGGAUCCCCCACCAGUUCGCCCAGAUAGUGGGCUGCUCUUCUUUUCAUCCUCAGAGUCCGAAUUCUGGUGGUGAAUCCAGCUCUUAUCACUCUUCAGGGUGGUGCGAACCUUCAUCUGCUUAAUGAUCCUCCUGCGGUCUUCAUCUGUGGGUGUAAUCACACGAUCUUUGCUGACACCCAGGGACAUCAUGGUUCUCA
Molecule: long non-coding RNA, 207 nt
Filed under: Gallus gallus (chicken)
Lineage: Eukaryota; Metazoa; Chordata; Aves; Galliformes; Phasianidae
Source: RNAcentral